AAUAGAUACCCGGGUAGUCCACGCCGUAAACGAUGAGUGCUAAGUGUUAGAGGGUUUCCGCCCUUUAGUGCUGCAGCUAACGCAUUAAGCACUCCGCCUGGGGAGUACGGUCGCAAGACUGAAACUCAAAGGAAUUGACGGGGGCCCGCACAAGCGGUGGAGCAUGUGGUUUAAUUCGAAGCAACGCGAAGAACCUUACCAGGUCUUGACAUCCCACUGACCGGUAUAGAGAUAUACCUUUCCCUUCGGGGACAGUGGUGACAGGUGGUGCAUGGUUGUCGUCAGCUCGUGUCGUGAGAUGUUGGGUUAAGUCCCGCAACGAGCGCAACCCUUGAUCUUAGUUGCCAGCAUUUAGUUGGGCACUCUAAGGUGACUGCCGGUGACAAACCGGAGGAAGGUGGGGAUGACGUCAAAUCAUCAUGCCCCUUAUGACCUGGGCUACACACGUGCUACAAUGGAUGGUACAAAGGGCUGCAAGACUGCGAAGUCAAGCCAAUCCCAAUAAAAACCAUUCUCAGUUCGGAUUGCAGG
This 531-nucleotide ribosomal RNA is filed under the name uncultured bacterium. Its description in RNAcentral is "bacterial SSU rRNA". It matches the Rfam family "Bacterial small subunit ribosomal RNA", at positions 777 to 1304 of the family's 1533-position model. The record is from RNAcentral.